Molecule: non-coding RNA, 403 nt
Organism: Haemorhous mexicanus (house finch)
Lineage: Eukaryota; Metazoa; Chordata; Aves; Passeriformes; Fringillidae
Source: the annotation of a RefSeq genome assembly
CCCCGCAGGGCUCCGGGCGGCCGUGACCCUGCUGGAGUGCGGGGGGGACCUCCAGCCCCCCGGGGGGUCCCUGCGCCUCCUCUGCCGAGGGGCUGGGUUCGAUUUCGGGAGUUUUGCCAUGAGCUGGAUCCGCCAGAGACCCGGGCAGGGGCUGGAGUGGCUCGCAGGGAUCUACAGCAGUGGCAGCACCUACUACGCGCCGUCGGUCAAGGGCCGGUUCACGAUCUCCAGGGACAACGGGCAGAGCUCGGUGACGCUGACCAUGACCGACCUCCGGGACGAGGAUUCCGGCGUCUAUUUCUGUGCCAAGCGUGCUGGUGCUGCUGGUGAUGAUGCUGGUGCUCAUGGCCCCACUUCAGGACUUGUAGCCCCAAAUUUGAGUUCCUGACCCCUCACCUCCGCC